GGACUGAAACUGACGCUGAGGCGCGAAAGCGUGGGGAGCAAAACAGGAUUAGAUACCCGGUAGUCCACGCGGUAAACGAUGAGUGCUAGGUGUAGGAGGUAUCGACCCCUUCUGUGCCCAGUAAACACAAUAAGCACUCCGCCUGGGGAGUACGGCCGCAAGGUUGAAACUCAAAGGAUUGACGGGGGCCCGCACAAGCAGCGGAGCAUGUGGUUUAAUUCGAAGCAACGCGAAGAACUUACCAGGUCUUGACAUCCAAUUAAAACCGUAGAGAUACGGUGUGAGCUUGCUCAAAUUGGACAGGUGGUGCAUGGUUGUCGUCAGCUCGUGUCGUGAGAUGUUGGGUUAAGUCCCGCAAGAGCGCAACCCCUAUCGUCCGUUACUAACAGGUAAAGCUGAGGACUCAGACGAGACCGCCGGGACAACUCGGAGGAAGGUGGGGACGACGUCAAAUCAUCAUGCCCCUUACGACCUGGGCACACACGUGCUACAAUGGGUACAACAAAGGGCAGCGAAAUCGUAAGGUGGAGCGAAACCCGAAAAGUACUCUCAGUUCAGAUUGUGGGCUGCAACCCGCCCACAUGAAGUUGGAGUUGCUGUAAUCGCGGAUCAGCAUGCCGCGGUGAAUACGUUCCCGGGCCUUGCACACACCGCCCGU
Molecule: ribosomal RNA, 658 nt
Filed under: uncultured bacterium
Lineage: Bacteria
Description: bacterial SSU rRNA
Rfam family: Bacterial small subunit ribosomal RNA
Source: RNAcentral